AGACAAGAUCCUGCUCUGUUGCCUAGGCUGAAGAGCAGUGGCCCAAUCAUGGUUCACUGCAACCUCCACCCACCCAGGCUCCAGUGAUUCUUGUGCCUCAGCCUCCCAAGUAGCUGGGAUUACAGGCAUAUGCCACCACGCCUGGCUAUUUUUUUGUAUUUUUUGUAGAGACAGGUUCUUGCCAUGUUGACCAGGCUGGUCUCGAAUUCCUGGCUUCAAGCAAUCCACCCACCUUGGCCUCCCGAAGUGCUAGGCUACAGGCGUGAGCCACUGCACCCAGCCUUACUUCUUACAUAUCUGUGGCACCUUUGUCAAAACUAAGAAAUUGAUACUGGUUACAACGCUGGUUCUAAAGUAUAGAUUUAUUUGGAUUUUGCCGCUUUUUCCACUAAUGUCCUUUUUCUGUUCCGAGAUCCAAUCCAGAAUAUCAUGGUGCAUUUAGUCCCUUGAUUUUUUAAUGGAGAAAAUGGUACUGUCUGCAAAUAAUAACUGUUAGAUACCUUAGUUUCCAAGUAUUGUGUGUGUGUAGGUAUUAGGUGUGCAUAUACGUAUCUUCCUGCACUAGCUCGUACUGACCACUCCAUCCAGGCUCUUCUUGCUCUACAUCCUAUACUUCUCCCAUAAAUGUUGGUGCUUCCUUGGAUUAUGUCCUUUGCCCUUUAAUCUGCGCUGGCUACACACUUUUGAGAAGAUCGCAGCCACUUUACAUCUCCCUGUAGGGAUUAGGCACAGCCUGCACUCCCAAGGCAGCCACUGUUAGCUCUGAUUAUUACCUCUUUAUUUCUAAUAGAUUCCUUUUUUGAACUCUGGAUUCAUAUAGCUGACUGCUUUCUGGACAUCUCUGUCUGAAUUUUCCACAGGCAUUGCAAUUUCACUGUGUCUGAAGGGAACAUAUAUCAUUGUCUUCUCUUGCCAACUUUCCCCUCCUGCUGCUCCAACCACCUCCAAGUUAUCCAAGACAGAAAAACCUGGGACCUAUUUCUGAACUAUUUGCUUUAUUCUUUCCUCCCUUCUUCUCUCCUUCCUUUUUGCCCUCUUUUUACCUCCCUCCCUUCCUUCUCCUCAUAGCCCCUGUGAAUCCUGCUUCCUUCAUGUCUCCCGUAUUUGUUACCUUCUGUCCACUCCCACAGUUGGUGCUUCCUUGGAUUCUGUCCUUUGUCCCCACUGUUUCAUUAAAAGCUCUCAUUCUUUCAUGCUAUUACACACUACCAAACUCCUUAACAUAGUAUUCAGAGCCUCUGGUAUCUCCAGCCUCAUUUAGUCCCCCAUACCCCCUUCCACAACACACACAUACAUACCCCUACACUCCAUGCUACCUAAUUGCUGGAAGUUCCUUAGAUGUGCUAGGCUUUCUCUCCCUUUCUCCUUUGGAAGUUAUAUAAGAUGCUUUCUUUUUGUUCCCGUUCUUUCUUUUCCUUACUAUUGCUAAUUCUUUCAGUCUCCAAUCAUUUGUCACUGCUUCCAGGAAACCUCUCUGUUCAGGCUGGGUUAGAUGUAUUCUCUGAGUGCUCUCAAAGUAGCCUGUGUAUAUUUUUCUCAUGGCACUUACAGUAUUGAGCUUUAGUUAUCCGUGUACCAGUCCUCAUCGCCUCAACCAUGCUGUAUGUUCCUUAAGGCUAAAGACCAAUGUUAUAUUUUCCUUUGGGCUUCCUAUUGCUUAGCACAGUACCUGGCACAUAGCUGUUACCCAUAAAUGUUAAUUGAAUUAAUGAGUAAAUGUAUUCACCAUUUAUGGAAACACUGACUUGUCUGUUUCCAAAAACCAUAUUCUUUCACCAGGGACAGAUCUCUCUAAAUAUCAGCUUCCUUAUUUCUAAAUAGGGAAGGUGUACUGGAUGAUCCCUUACACUGCUGAUAAAUUGGUAUUGUAUGAUUCUAAGAUUCAUCAUCCUGGGGCAUAUACAAAAGAAAAUGAUGUGGAUUGUGGAAGAUAUUCCAAAAUAGGAGUUCCAAAAUAUUUUAAGCAAUGGUGGUAAUGUUGAAAUAAUAAUUUGGCUUUUUGGUCCUACUGUUUAACUAAUGUGUUGAGUGCCAAUGAUCUGAACACUUGAACAUUUAAGUGAUUUACUUAUGGUGAUCAGAGUUUCUAUUCCUUUGCUGACAUAUCUAAAUCAUUUUAGAAAGAUUGUGUCAAUUCUCCUUUGCUGAAGAUUUUCAAGUCAAAGUUGGACAGUUGUUUGUCAUGGAUAUUGUAGAUGUGAUUUAAGAUAUAAUUGUGUAAUGAUAAGGCUAAGUGACCACUAAGAUUUUGCUUUAUGAUGAGAUGCUUCAAUUUUGUAGUUUAGAGCUUUUGCUUUUAUGUUACAAUAUUUUAAAAAAUUGAAUUUAAAGCUUGGAUAACAUACUAUUUAUUUGUCUAAGUUUAGGUCUUAGUGGAUUUAAUAUCAACAUUAGAAAGUUACCAGAAGUCUAUGUUUAUCAAAAUUGUUGACUUCCAUGCAUCCAAAAACUGACUCUAGGGAGUCAUCUCCGGCUUGUUAAAAUGAGCUGGGUUAAGUCAGUGUCUAAAGUCCAAUUUAGAAAGGUCUCUUAGCACAGCCUUUUAAAAAAUUUAUAAAAAUGUAAAAUACAAACACAGAAAAUCACGUUUAAAAAUUUGUACUUUAGGGAAUUAUUCCUAUGUGAACAUUCUUAUAACUGUUGCUCAGGUCAUAAAACAGAACUUUGCCAGCCACCUCAGAAGCGUUCUAUGCCCUGUCUCUAUCACAGACUGUCUUCCCCAAUGAAAGUGUAGACUUAUUUCAGUCACUUCUUUAUUUUUCUUAAUAGUUUUUGUCAUAGAAAUAGGUAUUCUAAAAUAGUCUACUUUAGUUUGGCCUUUGAAAAUAUAUGAAUUUUUAGCUGUUUUCAUGUCAUGUCUUCCUUCCAUCCUUUUUUCUCCCUUGCAAUUACUUGCUAAAGAAAUUGGAUUGUUUGAUCUAUAGAGUUUCUCAGCCUGGGUUUUCUUGAUUGCUCUAGGUGUGUAGGACUUAAGUGUUUAGAACAGGCAUGGCUGUUUCAUGCCUCAGUCCUGGAAUGACAUUCUACCCAGAAUAUCAUUCUCUUUUGUCUCUCCCUUGCCAAUACCUUGCUCAUGUGGUUAUCUUCUAUCUAUACUCCAAAACUUAGCUCAAAACUCACCCCUCCUAGAAAUAUUCCCAGCCUUUUCAUUUAAUAAUGGAUAUGUCCUAUUCUGUAGUCUCCUAGCACCUGUAAAAAACUCCAGUAUGACACCAAUCACAUGGCUGCAAUUCUUUCUUUUUCUAAAAAUAUAUAUGUUUAGAGAUGUAUUGGAAGGAGUUGGCUUACACCAUAGUGGGGGCUGGUGAGGCAAGUCUGAGAUCCAUAGGCAGGCUGGCAGAACUGGCAGGCUAGAAUUCUCUGGCAUAGGCUGAAGUGGCUGUCCACAGGCAGAAUUUCUGCUGGGAAGCUUCAGCUCUGCUCAUAAGGCCUUUCAACUGAUUGAAACAGGCCUGCAACAUUUUCAAGAAUAAUGUUCUUUACUCGAAGUCAAUUGUUGAAACAGGCCUGCAACAUUUUCAAGAAUAAUCUUCUUUACUGGAAGUCAAUUGAUUAUGGACUUUAAUCACAUUUACAAAGUACCUUCACAGCAACACAUAGAUUAGUGUUUCAUUGAAUUACUGGGGACUGCAGCCUAGCCAAGUUGAUACAUUAAAAAAAAAUCACACUGCAUCUUUUGAUUUUCUUUCUGAAUCUCUGCUUUUCUUUUUCCUAAUUUUGGCCUCUGUAAACCUUUCAUUUUUUUCAUGCUUUAGCAUUGUGAGGGACUUAAUACUGGGAUAUUUUUUCACAAUAUCUUGUUCACCAUCUUACCUGUCACUCUUUUCCCUGAGGUACUUUGAUCCAACAGACAUUCACUCGAUUCUGUUGUGUGUCGGGCAGUGUGCCACUGCUAGGGAUACAGAAAUGGAUAAGGUAUAGUUCCCUACCCUCAAAAAGCUCACCGUCAGUUGGUGGGGGACAGACAGGUAUGGUAUAAAAUUACUGUGAGUGGUAUAAAAUUACCUGAAGGCAUAAAAUAUCCAGCUAGUGUUAAAAUUUUCCUGAUGGUCUCAUAUUUUCUUUACAGUUGGUUUAUUCUCCAUCAGAAGUUGAACAAGGUUCACAUAUCCCUUUUGGGUGAUACGUCUCCAAACUCCCUUUAUAAUUGAGAAAUUCUCUCUUUUUCCUUGAACUCAUGAAUGUGCGUAUUUUCAGUCAUGUUUAAUAUGAUGCACAGUUGGUAUUUUUAUUCUAGAUUGCUUUAAAGUUUUAACAAUGCUAACAUUGUUACAUAUGGAUGUAACAAAGUUAACUCCCUUUUUAAUUGAGAAAUUCUCUCUCCCUCCUUGAACUCACUCAUGAAUGUGCUUAUUUUCAGUUGUGUUUAAUAUGACACACAGUUGGUAUUUUAUUCUAGAUUGUUUUAAAGUUUUAACAAUGCAAACAUUGUUACAUGCUUAUUAUAAAGGUAACAUGCACAACUGAGAAAAAAAUUUAAAUAUCACAAUGCAUGUGGAAGUAAAAUAUCAUUUUUAUCUCAUUAUCCCCAAAUAAUUGGUAACCCUUUGGGAUUGUUUCCUACUAAUCUGUACAUAUUCAAAUGUACAGUUUUUACAUAUUAAAUAUUCCCUGUGCUAUUACUUUGGGUUUAAUUUGCUCUUAUUUUUCUAGAUCAUAAUGUAGAAGCUUAGAUUUUUAUGUUUUGUUUAUCUAAUACAAAUAUUUAAAGCUGUAACUUUCCCAUUAAACAUGCUGAGUUUUCAUUAUCAUAAAACUAGAAAUAUUUUCUAAAUUUCUUUGUGAUUUAUUUUCUCUGUUUUUUUUUGUUUGUUUGUUUGUUUUGUUGUUGUUGUUGAGACAGGGUCUUCUCUGUCAUCCAGGCUGGAGUGCAUUCGUGCUAUCUCGGCUGACUGCAACCUCCGCCUCCCAGGCCCAAGCAAUUCUUGUGCCUCAGCCUUCUAGGUAGCUGGGAUUACAGGCGCAUGCCACCAUGCCUGGCUAAUUUUUUUUAUUUUUUGUAGAGUGGGGUUUUGCCAUGUUGGCCAGGCUGGCCUCGAACUCCUGAUCUCAAGCAAUCCACCCAUCUCCCAAAGUACUGAGAUUAUAGGCAUGAACCACCACGCCUGGCCUUCUCUGUGUUUUAUUUGGAAAUGCAUUGCCUAAUUUCCAAAUAUUUGGGGAUUUUCCAGAUAUCAUAUUGCUAACAUUUCUACUUUAAUACAUCAUAUGAUUUCAGUCAUUUCAAAUGUAUUGAGGCUUGUUUUAUGGUCAAGCAUAUAAUUUAUUCUUGGGAACGUUCUAUGUGCCCUUGAAAAGAAUGUAGAUUCUGCAGAUGUUGGGUGUAGUGAUCUUUAAGUGUCAUUUUGGGCAUAUCUGCAUGCAAAAGAAUGAAGUUGUGCCACAUACCACAUACAAAAAUUAACUCAAAAUGUAUUAAAACCUAAAUAGAAGGGGUAAAACUAAAACUUGGAGGAAUGCAUAGGUGUAAACCUUCAUGACCCUAGAUUAGGCAGUGAUUUUUUAGAUAUGACACCAAAAGUACAAGCAACAAAAGAAGAACAUUGAUAAAUUGGACUUCAUGAAAAUUUAAAGUGUUUAUGCUUCAAAGGACAACAUCAAGAAAGUGAAAAGAGGCCGGGCGCGGUGGCUCAU
This 5634-nucleotide long non-coding RNA is filed under the name Homo sapiens (human). Its description in RNAcentral is "HSALNT0321830". The record is from RNAcentral. Lineage: Eukaryota; Metazoa; Chordata; Mammalia; Primates; Hominidae.